RNAcentral lists this transfer RNA (74 nucleotides) under Streptomyces hygroscopicus subsp. sporocinereus. Its description in RNAcentral is "tRNA-Arg". Lineage: Bacteria; Bacillati; Actinomycetota; Actinomycetes; Kitasatosporales; Streptomycetaceae. The record is from RNAcentral.
GCAGAGCCUGGCCGACGGACUCGGGGCGGCCGGUUUCGACCCGGCCCGCCCGGCGUUCUUCGUCUGGCUCGGUG